GUUCCCAUACCGAACACAGUAGUUAAGCUCAGUAGCGCCAAAAGUAGUUGGAGGAUCGCCUCCUGCGAGGAUAGGACAUCGCGAUGC
RNAcentral lists this ribosomal RNA (87 nucleotides) under Weissella paramesenteroides. The record is from RNAcentral. Lineage: Bacteria; Bacillati; Bacillota; Bacilli; Lactobacillales; Lactobacillaceae.